GGGGAAUUUUGCGCAAUGGGGGAAACCCUGACGCAGCAACGCCGCGUGGAGGAUGAAGUCCCUUGGGACGUAAACUCCUUUCGACCCGGAAGAUGGUGACGGUACGGGGAGAAGAAGCUGCGGCUAACUACGUGCCAGCAGCCGCGGUAAUACGUAGGCAGCGAGCGUUGUUCGGAGUUACUGGGCGUAAAGCGUGCGUAGGCGGCGGCCCAAGUCUGGUGUGGAAUCUCCCGGCUUAACCGGGAGGGUGCGCUAGAAACUGGGUUGCUGGAGUACCGGAGAGGCAGGCGGAAUUCCUGGUGUAGCGGUGAAAUGCGUAGAUAUCAGGAGGAACACCCGUGGUGUAGACGGCCUGCUGGACGGUCACUGACGCUGAGGCACGAAAGCGUGGGGAGCAAAC
Molecule: ribosomal RNA, 400 nt
Filed under: uncultured bacterium
Lineage: Bacteria
Description: bacterial SSU rRNA
Rfam family: Bacterial small subunit ribosomal RNA
Source: RNAcentral